GACGAACGCUGGCGGCGGGCUUAACACAUGCAAGUCGAACGGAAAGGCCCUGCUUUUGUGGGGUGCUCGAGUGGCGCACGGGUGAGUAACACGUGAGUAACCUGCCCUUGACUUUGGGAUAACUUCAGGAAACUGGGGCUAAUACCUGAUAGGAGCUCCUGCUGCAUGGUGGUGUUUGGAAAGUUUCGGCGGUAGUGGAUGGACUCGCGGGUUAUCAGCUGGUUGGUGGGGUAGUGGCUUACCAGGGCUUUGACGGGUAGUCGGCCUGAGAGCGUGAACGGCCACAUUGGGACUGCGAUACGGACCAGACGGCUACGGAAGGCAGCAGUGGGGAAUCUUGUCCAAUGGGCGGAAGCCUGAUGCAGCAGCGCCGGGUGCGGGAUGACGGCCUUGGGGUUGUAAACCGCUUUCGCCUGUGACGAAGCGUGAGUGACGGUAAUGGGUAAAGAAGCACCGGCUAACUACGUG
RNAcentral lists this ribosomal RNA (468 nucleotides) under uncultured bacterium. RNAcentral describes it as "partial 16S ribosomal RNA". It matches the Rfam family "Bacterial small subunit ribosomal RNA", at positions 28 to 507 of the family's 1533-position model. The record is from RNAcentral.